CGCCAUGGAUGGUACCUCAUCGCCGGUCGUGCUGCUGGUCUUCGCUUGGUCGUCGGAUGCUCUCCCCCUUCCUGGAUCUGCGUGCUCCCCAGUUGUGGUCGUCUUCCCCGUCCCCACCCCGGCCCACCCCCUGGCCACGCGUCCUUCCUGAUGGGUUCGGAUCCGCCGCGGUCAUCCCACCACCGGCCGCGGUCACAGGGGGCCGGAUCCGCCGCUCCUGGGUUCAGAUCUGUGCAUCUCACCUAGGGGGCUUCCUCAUCGUCGGCCCGUGGUCGUCAGUGUGGAUGUGGGGGCGAAGCAGCACAAGCAGGGCCGGAAUCCUGAGUCCCGCGGCGACUUCACCAUCCUGCUCUCCCACAUCGUCCUCGGCUGCAAGUUCGUCGCCUUCGCCGUCAACAAGGCCGGGCUCGUGAAGCUCAUUGGACUCUCCAGCGAGACCAACAUCCAGGGAGAGGAGUAGAAGAAGCUAGACGGCGUUCGUCAGGGCCCUCGUCAGCAGUGGCCGCACCAUACGAAUCCAGAAUCCUCCUUGUCCAUUUCCCCUCGUCCGUUCCAGUUCCUAGUGUGUUGUUCUCUGACCCGGCGCCGGUGCACGCAUGCAGUGCGUCCUUGUGUCGGAGGAGGACGAGGAGGAAACGUUCGUGGAUCCUGCACUGCGUGGGAAGUACUGCGUCUGCUUUGAUCCGCCCGACGGCUCCUCCAACAUCGACUGUGGCGUCUCAAUCGGAAUGAGUCAAGAUUUUGAGGUUGUGCUGCAGCCUGGCACAAACAUGCUUGCUGCGGGAUACUGCAUGUGUGGCAGUUCCUGCACGCUUGUUCUGAGCACUGGGAGUGGUGUCAAUGGCUUCACACUUGACCCAUCACUUGGUGAGUUCAUACUGACUCAUCUAGACAUCAAGAUACUUAAGAUGGGAAAGAUUUAUUCAGUCAAUGAAGGGAAUGCCAAAAAUUGGGAUGCAGCUGUUGCGAAGUUUGUGGAGAAGUGUAAAUACCUCAAAGAUGGUUCGCCACCUAAAUCUUUGAGAUACAUUGGAAGUACGGUUGCUGAUGUUCACUGUAUCUUGCCCUAUGGGGGUGUAUUUUUGUCUCCUUUUGAUUCUGCAUUUUUUUCCACUUUUGUAGUUUAUGCAAUGGCUAGAUGGCAGAAGCGUUAACAAGGUACUAUGUCAUCAUCUACCAUGAUUGAAGGAUAAGGACAUUAGCCAAUAACAUGGAGUUUAUUUAGGCAAUUUAGAGUUUCACCUCUCUGCUCCAGGACGACAGGAAUAACAACUCAAUUCCUCUUGUUUGAGUAGCAGCGGUGCAGGAGUUGUUUUGUCACUGCAACAGCAACAAUGCCUGUCAUCAUUAGCUUAGGUAGAUAAGCAGAUAAGCACUCCAGCAAGGAUUCAGUCAGUGUAUGAAGUAAAAUGCUACUUCUAUGUGGAUGAGAAGAGCAGAAAGAUAUAUGGAUGAGAAGAGCAGAACGAUGAGACGAGAAGAACUACUUUUAUGUGGAUGCUCUGUCUAUGAAGUAAAAUGCUACCUUUUACAGGGAUUUCACUGGGAUUUCACCUUGGCUUGCCCUGUUUUGGUGAAGAAACAAUGUUGCUUUGAAUCAUGUUCAUUUGCUUGUACAUUUAUUCUAAUUUGCUUAUACGUUAUUAUAAUAUGCUUUCAGAUUUUAACAAAAAUGCUUCUCAUUGUAAAGA
RNA transcript from Panicum virgatum (switchgrass), 1691 nucleotides. It is a transcript of the gene named fructose-1,6-bisphosphatase, cytosolic-like, with no coding region annotated. The record is from RefSeq and is a predicted model, not a curated record. NCBI's taxonomy places the organism in Eukaryota, Viridiplantae, Streptophyta, Magnoliopsida, Poales, Poaceae. The transcript is spliced from 12 exons.